CGGACGGGUGAGUAACGCGUGGAAAACCUGCCGUAUACUGGGGGAUAACACUUAGAAAUAGGGUGCUAAUACCGCAUAAGCGCACAGCUUCGCAUGAAGCGGUGUGAAAAACUCUGGUGGUAUACGAUGGUUCCGCGUCUGAUUAGCUAGUUGGUGGGGUAAUGGCCUACCAAGGCAACGAUCAGUAGCCGGCCUGAGAGGGUGAACCGGCCACAUUGGGACUGAGACACGGCCCAAACUCCUACGGGAGGCAGCAG
Molecule: ribosomal RNA, 257 nt
Filed under: uncultured bacterium
Lineage: Bacteria
Description: partial 16S ribosomal RNA
Rfam family: Bacterial small subunit ribosomal RNA
Source: RNAcentral